UACGGGGGGGGCAAGCGUUGUUCGGAAUUACUGGGCGUAAAGGGUGCGUAGGCGGUUUGUCGCGUCUGCUGUGAAAACUCGGGGCUUAACCCCGGGCCUGCAGUGGGUACGGGCAGACUAGAGUGCGGUAGGGGAGACUGGAAUUCCUGGUGUAGCGGUGAAAUGCGCAGAUAUCAGGAGGAACACCAAUGGCGAAGGCAGCUCACUGGGACGAUACUGACGCUGAGACGCGAAAGCGUGGGGAGCAAACAGG
This 253-nucleotide ribosomal RNA is filed under the name uncultured bacterium. RNAcentral describes it as "partial 16S ribosomal RNA". It matches the Rfam family "Bacterial small subunit ribosomal RNA", at positions 524 to 776 of the family's 1533-position model. The record is from RNAcentral.